UCCUUCCUGAUGGUGUCCGUCGGGAGGCCGUACAUGUCGACUUCAACGUAUGUGCCGAUUUUCUUAUCUGACAGGAACUGUCCAGAGAACACCUGAAGUGAAAAGAGGGACAUCAGUAUGGAUACUUUUGAAGUUAGGAAUGUCAGAGAGGGUAUUCGAGUUUUCAUACAACGGUAACCUCUGUGUGUAAUAAGACAAAAGCUGUUUACAACACAUAAAAAGGAAGAUAAGGAAGACGAGCUAAGAGCCAUGCUUUGAGUGCCAGAUGACCCGACCUGUACACUACAAGUUGCAGCAAUGACACCAUCCACCGGUGUCUCUGAAAAAGGGUCAAACAUCCUGUCGGACCGCCGCAUAAAGUCGGGCUUCAGCAGGAUGUCUGUGCACAUGGCCUUGCCAUGAGUGAUGAUGGGCUCCUGGUCCUCUCCUUUCCCGUCCCAGCAGUCCAACUCCACACAU
Molecule: long non-coding RNA, 459 nt
Organism: Thunnus maccoyii (southern bluefin tuna)
Lineage: Eukaryota; Metazoa; Chordata; Actinopteri; Scombriformes; Scombridae
Exons: 3
Source: RefSeq, a predicted model, not a curated record